GGAAGCACCUGGCCACGCAUCAGGUGGUGGUCCCAACUCCCUGCGUCCUUGGGUGCGAGUCACCUGGCCACGUAUCAGGUGUCGCCAACCUCCCUGACCACGAAUCAGGGAGGACACCUGGCCACGCAUCAGGUGUCUGCGAUGGCAUACACGCGCACACGCAUACGCAUUACGCAUACACUCCUUCCCGGUGGCCGUGCAUGUUCUGACGAUACCACGAGAAUCCGCGGCCGAGCUGAGGCUGGCCAUUUGCCCAAAACCAUUUGUCGGCGUUUCUCGAACAUAGCCUAAUCAAUCCUAUUCCGUCCGGCGUCCAGUAUUUGUGGUGACUGACUCAGUUUUGCACUUUAAAAUGCUAAACAGCAGAGGAUUUGUUUCCUUCAAUUUGGAUGAGAAGAAAACUGUUCUGUCAAUUCGUGAAUAUGUUUCGUGAGAGCCACGAUUCCAGUCAAAGCUCUGGACCUUCAUCAACUGCUGCGAGAGGAUCCAGCGCAGUAUCUUCGGAGCUUUGAGCUCCGAGAGGACAAUUUCAAUAAUGUCGUUCAUAUGCCGAACGUUGUGGAAUCUGCCACACCUGAACAUGUGCGUCCCAUCGUUACUCCUACCGUCAAUCCUGCAGGCGGCUGUAAAAAAAUCCACCGUUGCCCAAAUUUUCGCAAAGACCAAGUUAAGCAAUUAGAGAGCUUUUAUAAGAACUGUCCCUAUCCGAACUUUGCUCAGCGCACUGAAUUGGCCGAAAUUAUUGGAGAGAGCACAGGUGAGCAGCCAGUGUGGAGGUGGUUCAGGAGAAGACGUUACAAGCAGCGCAGAACUGGGGGCACUGUUCCGGCUGCCAGCCCUCCACAUCGACUUGCAGUCCUGCAGCUACGAAAUCCCUCACAUCCGGUCCAGUUGAGUCUGCUCCCGCAACCCCGUUUUUCCCGCAGACUUUGCGGAUUUCACCGGCAUCAGGCGUGCAAAGCGGAUUUCAGUUGAAAUACAGCGGUCAGGCCAACGACAUAUCCUUCGGAUGGUCAUGCCUGCUGGCGGUGAUCAUCCGUACUUGAUUAUGCCAGGUGGAAAUUCGUAAAAGCCGGAUUCAGAUGCUUCUGGAUUGAUCAACAAUAUUACUGGUCACUUUCACUCCUCAUUAUGGACGUUUAGUCGUCCCCACAUUUUUGCCACUGCUUUACGACUUACGAGAGGGGCUGAUGACUGCUGCGG
Molecule: long non-coding RNA, 1203 nt
Organism: Paramacrobiotus metropolitanus
Lineage: Eukaryota; Metazoa; Tardigrada; Eutardigrada; Parachela; Macrobiotidae
Exons: 3
Source: RefSeq, a predicted model, not a curated record